GUGCGAGACCGAUAGCGAACAAGUACCGUGAGGGAAAGAUGAAAAGAACUUUGAAAAGAGAGUUAAAGAGUACCUGAAACUGCUGAAAGGGAACCGAAUCGUUUCCAGUGUCUAUAAUCCGUGGUAUAUUUCAUUGGCGAGUGUGUGCGUGCGUGUGCUGUGGCAGCGGCUUUUUAGGCUGCGCUCGGCGUGUGUGCUGUGUGUGCUUGCUGGUGCCCUGUACUGCGGUGGGACGUCAAGGUCAGUUCGUAUGCUGCGGGAAAUGGCUGCCGAGGAGGUAGGGCUUACGCUCCGCGUUUGUCUGUUAUAUCUUGGUGGACGAGUCGUCGCGGUUGGGACUGAGGUGCCUACAACGUGCUUUUGAGUGGGUCUGUGUCUCCGUGUGCGCCGUGUGCGGAUAGCUUGCUAUGCGUGUGUGGUUGUGUGUGGAUUGAUGCGGGCCUUAACUUGUUGCUGUUCGGGACUUUGA
This 469-nucleotide ribosomal RNA is filed under the name uncultured Oomycota. RNAcentral's name for it is "LSU rRNA". The stretch from base 1 to 83 matches the Rfam family "Bacterial large subunit ribosomal RNA", at positions 476 to 559 of the family's 2925-position model. Lineage: Eukaryota; Oomycota. The record is from RNAcentral.